Molecule: long non-coding RNA, 253 nt
Filed under: Lathyrus oleraceus (garden pea)
Lineage: Eukaryota; Viridiplantae; Streptophyta; Magnoliopsida; Fabales; Fabaceae
Description: Pisum sativum (pea) long non-coding RNA (PSAT_LNC024225)
Source: RNAcentral
AAUUAUAUGGCUCACCAUUCUGAUCAUCCCUAUCAAUAACAUACAUAUUAUGACUACGUAACCGAACUAGAUCAACAUUAGAAAAAUUGAUAUCUUUCUUGGGUGUAGCCUUGUCUACCUUAUCAAUGUCUUCAAUAGUUUGGUCUUCCAUGAAUACCCCAUCGCGACUUCGAAUAAGCUUCUUCCCUAUAGGAGCAUACAACCUGUAACCAAACUCAUCUUACCCAAGCCAAUGAAGAUACAUUGUUUUGAC